Molecule: ribosomal RNA, 212 nt
Filed under: Salmonella enterica subsp. enterica
Lineage: Bacteria; Pseudomonadati; Pseudomonadota; Gammaproteobacteria; Enterobacterales; Enterobacteriaceae
Description: partial 16S ribosomal RNA
Rfam family: Bacterial small subunit ribosomal RNA
Source: RNAcentral
GGAAGGUGGGGAUGACGUCAAAUCAUCAUGCCCUUAUGACCUGGGCUACACACGUGCUACAAUGGAUGGUACAGAGGGCAGCUAAACCGCGAGGUCAAGCAAAUCCCAAAAAACCAUUCUCAUUUCGGAUUGCAGGCUGCAACUCGCCUGCAUGAAGCCGGAAUCGCUAGUAAUCGCGGAUCAGCAUGCCGCGGUGAAUACGUUCCCGGGCC